Long non-coding RNA from Coffea arabica (coffee), 674 nucleotides. RefSeq lists it as uncharacterized. NCBI's taxonomy places the organism in Eukaryota, Viridiplantae, Streptophyta, Magnoliopsida, Gentianales, Rubiaceae. The record is from RefSeq and is a predicted model, not a curated record.
CUCACCGCCAGCCUCCAUUCUCCUAAUUUUUUCUUUUCCCCUUUCUGUCAACUUUUUUCCCGUUCCACACCUGCAGCCGCAGCCGCACCCUCCUGACAAAAGCAGCCCACUGAAUCAAGCGACUGAAUUCCUUCCUUGGCCAGUAGCUCGCCUGAUUCUUGCCACCGUCACUGACUCACCAUACGUAGCAGCCACACGGAGCCACCUCGGUAGAGCCAGGGGCCUCUACCAUACCCCGAUUCACUGCAUUCUGCUGGAGGGCGUUUCUUCACCGGCCCACUCUGCGGCUUUGCCGCGGCGGUGGCAGCAGCAGAGUAAGCUAACUUAGACAGUGGGAGGAAAUUCUUGUUCGAGUCAAGGAUGGAAACAAAGUUGAAUUGGGGUUGAAAACAUGAAUUUGAAGAGUGUGUGAAGAGAUUUGGAAGAGCUGUUGAUGUUAUUGAAAUGGAGAAAGGCAUUGUCUUCUGCAAACGUCCACCAACUGUUUGUGAAUUUGACUUCAACGUUUUGCCUUGUUUCUCUCAAGGAAGAUGAAGAUAUACUUUGUUCUGUAUAGGUAGUUUUGAAUCGGCUUAAUUGCAAAAUGAGGUGUGGAAGUAUUAUUUAUUUGUUAUAUAUCCCCUACAGCUAUUAGUUGCUGCAUUUUAGUGCCUAAUAAAGAUCAAUUAGUUGCA